CGCAUGGCCUCUGUGCUGG
This 19-nucleotide non-coding RNA is filed under the name Arabidopsis thaliana (thale cress). The record is from RNAcentral. Lineage: Eukaryota; Viridiplantae; Streptophyta; Magnoliopsida; Brassicales; Brassicaceae.